This is a long non-coding RNA of Sapajus apella (tufted capuchin), 158 nucleotides long. RefSeq lists it as uncharacterized. The transcript has 3 exons. NCBI's taxonomy places the organism in Eukaryota, Metazoa, Chordata, Mammalia, Primates, Cebidae. The record is from RefSeq and is a predicted model, not a curated record.
UCAUUACUCUGGCAGCUUCACUGCCAUGACCUGCUACGGAGUGAGCUACACUGGCUCAGAAGCCACCUCUUCCCAGAAGUCUUCCCCAGACCCAUCAGAAGUCCCACUGAGGGGGCUUUAGUAUGCUUUCUGCUGCUAAUCUACUUCAAUCUUUUCUU